AGUGAACGCUGGCGGCAGGCCUAACACAUGCAAGUCGAACGGCAGCACAGAGGAGCUUGCUCCUUGGGUGGCGAGUGGCGGACGGGUGAGGAAUACAUCGGAAUCUGCCUUAUCGUGGGGGAUAACGUAGGGAAACUUACGCUAAUACCGCAUACGACCUACGGGUGAAAGCGGGGGAUCGCAAGACCUCGCGCGAUAAGAUGAGCCGAUGUCGGAUUAGCUAGUUGGCGGGGUAAAGGCCCACCAAGGCGACGAGCCGUAGCUGGUCUGAGAGGAUGGUCAGCCACACUGGAACUGAGACACGGUCCAGACUCCUACGGGAGGCAGCAGUGGGGAAUAUUGGACAAUGGGCGCAAGCCUGAUCCAGCCAUGCCGCGUGGGUGAAGAAGGCCUUCGGGUUGUAAAGCCCUUUUGUCCGGAAAGAAAAGCACUGGAUUAAUACUUCGGUGUUCUGACGGUACCGGAAGAAUAAGCACCGGCUAACUUCGUGCCAGCAGCCGCCGUAA
This 506-nucleotide ribosomal RNA is filed under the name uncultured bacterium. RNAcentral's name for it is "partial 16S ribosomal RNA". It matches the Rfam family "Bacterial small subunit ribosomal RNA", at positions 29 to 523 of the family's 1533-position model. The record is from RNAcentral.